CAAAGGAGAUAAGUGAAGACGUGCAAAGCCUUGCUAAACAGGACCCAUGGGGGAGAGAUUUGAAGAAGCCAUCAGGGUUUUGACUAGAAGGCAGGGGUCCUCAAAGCUGUGAAAGUCUGAUCUAUCAGAGGUGGCUGCCAAGCUGUGCUUUCUUCUGCAGAUGGCAAAAGAAAAAGAUGUGAAACAAGACAUGUUUAAAUGGAAGAGAGAGGAAUGAGAGAGGAAGGCAAGAAUACAAAUAUUUAAGAAAGCUUUAUUUUCCUGAAGCAAAGAAUGACACUUGAAACCGAGGGAAUCUCAAUGUCCACCUUGCAUUUCCAUGACCAGCAAGAGAGGGGAACCCCUACAGGUAAU
RNAcentral lists this long non-coding RNA (354 nucleotides) under Homo sapiens (human). Its description in RNAcentral is "HSALNT0297899". Lineage: Eukaryota; Metazoa; Chordata; Mammalia; Primates; Hominidae. The record is from RNAcentral.